RNAcentral lists this unclassified non-coding RNA (1888 nucleotides) under Hevea brasiliensis (rubber tree). The record is from RNAcentral. Lineage: Eukaryota; Viridiplantae; Streptophyta; Magnoliopsida; Malpighiales; Euphorbiaceae.
GAACAAGCACGAUUUGUUUUGCAUUUAGUUGAAAAUCACUUUUUGCUGCAAUAUCAGGAAAGCAUUAAUUACCAACAAAUGGAUAAACAAGAACAAACGCACUUUUAUCCAAGAAUGCAGUCGGAUGUAAUAGUCUAUAUUGCCUGAAUUCACCAUUCAGUAAGUCUGAAAAGCUCGCCCACAGAAUUUCCAAGGCAGUUCAAGUGCAACUCAGCGCUAAAUGUAAUAAAGUACAGUCGAUGUAAAAGUACCGAAUAAUCAUGUAUAAUGUGACCAACUCGAGUACAUCAGUGUCCAAUAUGUGAAACCAACCCAAUCAAAGACUUUAAAUCACAUAGGAACAACACGGGCCUUGUACAUGCAAAUAUAAGCCAUAUGCCAAUCACCACCCCCUGAAAGUUUAGUGAUGUCCUCUUCUCGCUGCGGGAUUGGAUUGUCAUCAUCGAAUUGAACCCACUUUCCGUUCUCUUGCUUGACCCAGGCAACAUAAUGCCCUGAGUCGGCACUUCUUCCCUUGUGAGUCAGCACCGCCACCAAAUCAUAUAUUCCAGUCAACUGGUGUUCCUUCUCAGGCAGAACACCUUCUUGGGAUGUAGAUUUAGAUGCUUCUCCACUUCCACUAGAUGAUUCCUCAGCAUCCGUCAUUUUAGUGUCGUUGUCAGUUGUAACUGGAGUUUUUGCACUUGUUUUUAAACCAGCCUUCUUACCUUCUGCAUCCCUCAAAACCUGGCGGGGGCCUUCCAGUUUCUUGCGAAGGUUAUCCGAACAAAGAUCAUAUACAUCCAACGACAAUGGGUAAUCCACUUUCCGUAAAAUCUUUGCCUUCUGAUUUGAUUCCCUUUUCCAGAAAAAACGGACGAAUUGAAUGGUCAAGUAUCUUGGCAAGCCAUUGAUUCGGGAGUCUUUCACAUAAACUGCACUGCGUCCAAGUGAAGGAGAUGCCUUCUCCAGUUCCGAUUUCAGACCACGUUUCAAACCCUCGUGCAAAUGGUUAACUUCCUGCGAAAUGUGGCAUUUAAGGGAAUAGACAGUUUCUGUUUCUGUGCUUUCUUCACCACUUUCAGCACAAUGGAUCCUGUUAUCAAAGUCAAUACCGAAGAGAGUCUUCACAAUAUCCUGACCUUCACUCGAAUUCGGUGAUUUAAGAGACUGGGAAAGGGUGUAAAGUAGUUGGGUCCAACACUCUUCGGCAUCCUGUUGCAUGAAAGCUCCAUUGCUCUGCUGGCCAAAUUGAGGAUAUUUCUUCCGCAAAACCAUCCAGAACUGCAUUGGUGCCACUGGCUUCACAUUUUUAUCAAGGUCAUUAAAUAGAUCUCUUGUUGCAACUGUCAAGAGAUGAGAUGAGUGAUCCAAAUCAUUGCUUUUACCCAGUUGAUUAUACUCAGUCAGAGAAGACUUCAGUUCCGGAACUGAAUGCAAGCACUGCACUGUGGAGUUCAUGUAGCAUGUGUUUCCAAGAUUAAAUAAUCCAGCUGAAUGACCUACAUUAACCACUUGCUCUUCUUCAGGCAUAUCUUCAACAAAAAUAGGACCCUUCUCAGGGGCCUUCACAAUUUCAUCAGCAGUUCCCAUCAUCAUCAGCCUUUGCCCCUCUUUUACUCCUACUCUAGACCAAUCAGCGUCAUCCUUCAGUAAACCACCUUUGACCAUUAUCUUUUGCCUUUCAGGUGGUACCCCUGUUAGAUCAUACAGCUGACAUUUGAAAACAUAUGGAGGCUGGCUAGUGUCAAUUUCCACAGCAGGAUAGACUUCUUUUUGCCACUUUACACUUACUGUCACCAUGGUUGUCGGAGCUUCGCCGUUGGCAGGAUCGGGACUCGACGGAGGUUUCUCGCUCUGUUUAGAAUUUGCCCUGUGUGAUGUUUGCUUGUAGAGAAGGGCAGGCAAA